CGUGCACUGGUGGGGUCCCUCGGCCUGGCCUGUGCCCUCUCACAAUCCAGGACCCCUGGGGGAUGUUGGAUAGCCGGUUUUGGCCCGAUCCCCGCAGGCCAGGCCAAGGGACCCCACCAGUGCACG
Molecule: microRNA precursor, 126 nt
Filed under: Myotis lucifugus (little brown bat)
Lineage: Eukaryota; Metazoa; Chordata; Mammalia; Chiroptera; Vespertilionidae
Description: mir-9193 microRNA precursor family
Rfam family: mir-9193 microRNA precursor family
Source: Rfam by way of RNAcentral